CAGUAGGGUGCCAUCAAGAAGUGUUUUUGGAAAUAUCCCUAAUACAGGAUCACUUGGAUCCGUCGGCGAUGA
This 72-nucleotide ribosomal RNA is filed under the name Enterocytozoon bieneusi. RNAcentral describes it as "partial large subunit ribosomal RNA". The record is from RNAcentral. Lineage: Eukaryota; Fungi; Microsporidia; Enterocytozoonidae.